UGCAUUCAACCGUUGAUGGACAUUUGGGUC
Molecule: non-coding RNA, 30 nt
Filed under: Homo sapiens (human)
Lineage: Eukaryota; Metazoa; Chordata; Mammalia; Primates; Hominidae
Source: RNAcentral